RNAcentral lists this ribosomal RNA (433 nucleotides) under uncultured bacterium. Its description in RNAcentral is "partial 16S ribosomal RNA". It matches the Rfam family "Bacterial small subunit ribosomal RNA", at positions 29 to 507 of the family's 1533-position model. The record is from RNAcentral.
AACGAACGCUGGCGGCAUGCCUAACACAUGCAAGUCGAACGAGACCUUCGGGUCUAGUGGCGCACGGGUGCGUAACGCGUGGGAACCUGCCCUUAGGUUCGGAAUAACUCCCCGAAAGGGGUGCUAAUACCGGAUAAUGUCUUCGGACCAAAGAUUUAUCGCCUUUGGAUGGGCCCGCGUUGGAUUAGCUAGUUGGUAGGGUAAAAGCCUAACAAGGCGACGAUCCAUAGCUGGUCUGAGAGGAUGAUCAGCCACACUGGGACUGAGACACGGCCCAGACUCCUACGGGAGGCAGCAGUGGGGAAUAUUGGACAAUGGGCGAAAGCCUGAUCCAGCAAUGCCGCGUGAGUGAUCAAGGCCUUAGGGUUGUAAAGCUCUUUUACCCGGGAUGAUAAUGACAGUACCGGGAGAAUAAGCUCCGGCUAACUCCGUG